AUUGAACGCUAGCGGGAUGCUUUACACAUGCAAGUCGAACGGCAGCACGAAAAGAGCUUGCUCUUUUUGGUGGCGAGUGGCGAACGGGUGAGUAAUGUAUCGGAACGUACCCAGUAGCGGGGGAUAACUACGCGAAAGCGUGGCUAAUACCGCAUACGCCCUACGGGGGAAAGGGGGGGAUCGCAAGACCUCUCACUAUUGGAGCGGCCGAUAUCGGAUUAGCUAGUUGGUGGGGUAAAGGCUCACCAAGGCAACGAUCCGUAGCUGGUUUGAGAGGACGACCAGCCACACUGGAACUGAGACACGGCCCAGACUCCUACGGGAGGCAGCAGUGGGGAAUUUUGGACAAUGGGGGAAACCCUGAUCCAGCCAUCCCGCGUGUGCGAUGAAGGCCUUCGGGUUGUAAAGCACUUUUGGCAGGGAAGAAACGGCGCUGACUAAUACUUGGCGUAACUGACGGUACCUGCAGAAUAAGCACCGGCUAACUACGUG
Molecule: ribosomal RNA, 492 nt
Filed under: uncultured bacterium
Lineage: Bacteria
Description: partial 16S ribosomal RNA
Rfam family: Bacterial small subunit ribosomal RNA
Source: RNAcentral